Long non-coding RNA from Prinia subflava (tawny-flanked prinia), 13456 nucleotides. RefSeq lists it as uncharacterized. The record is from RefSeq and is a predicted model, not a curated record. The transcript has 5 exons. Lineage: Eukaryota; Metazoa; Chordata; Aves; Passeriformes; Cisticolidae.
ACAGGGAGCCGGAACGGGGCAGGGACCGGGAUCGGGGAAUGGGGACCGCGAAUGAGUCCGGGAAUACGAGACAGGAACCGGGAAUGGGGACAUGGGAACGAAACAGGGAACAUAGAAACAGCGGCCGCAGAGAGGAUAUGGAAUGGGGAUCAGUGUUCCAAAGCUUUCCAGUGAAGGAUAUCCAGGGCUGCGAGCUCUACAGCUGGGCCUCCCCUGGGCUGCUGCGGCCCAGGGCCCAAAGGCUGGAGCUGCAGCCUUGCUCCUGUGGCAAGAACAGGAGGCUCCUGCAGGCCCGUGUCCCCUGCAUGGCCCCAGCAGCAGGGAGGGCUGUGAGGCACAGCGGGUGCUGGCAGGAGGGGCUGCUGUGGCCAGCUGGGGCCUGUGAGAAAUGCCCAAAGCCUUGUGCUGUGUGCAGCUGGGCAAGGGCAGCAGCAGGGCUGAAGGGUUCGUGUGCCACAGCCAGCCCAAGCUGGGGAGCCCUGAGGGCCCCAUGCGAGAAUCUGCCCUGGGUAAUGGCACUGGGAAUGGGGACAGGGACCGGGAAUGGGGACAGGGACGGGGAAUUAGACCAGGAAUGGGACUAGGAAUGGGAAGAGUGGACAGAGACUGGGAAUGGGAAUGGGCCUGGGAAUGGGGACAGGGUUGGGGAAUGGGUCUAGAAAUAUAGGACUGGGACCAGGAUUGGAAUUUGGAUUGGCAAUGGGGACAGGGACUGGGAAUAGGAAACAGGGACCACAAAUUUGGCCUGGAAGACAGGACAGGACAGGGAAUAGGGACAGAGAUCAGGAACAGGGGACAAGGACUGGGAUUGCAAGCAAGAAUGGGGACAGGGACUAGGAAUGUGACAGGGAAUGGGGACAGGGACUGGGGAUAAGACUGGAAAGACUGGAAAUUGUGACAGGGGCCAAGAAUUGGACCAGGAAUAUUUGAUGGGGACCAGGAAUGGAGAGAGGGUCCAGGAAUGGGGUCUGGGAUUGGGACACAGACCAGGAAUGGGACUGGAAAUGGGGACAGGGGCCCGGACUGGGACCAGGAAUUUGGGGGAGGAUCGUGGAAUGCGACCUAGGAUGGGAAUAUGGAAUCAGGAAUUGGAGAGAGACUAUAGGAUGGGGAUUAAGAAGAUGGGACUGGGAUUGGACAUGGGAAUACAGGAAUGGGACUGGGAAUAUGGAAAUGAAAGUGUGGGACUGGCAGGGAGAUCGGAAAUACGAGAAUGGAAAUAGAACAUGAAUAUGGGACUGGAAAUAUGGGAACAGCAACCAAAGAGAGAAUAUAGGACAGGGCUAGGGAAUGAGAUGGGAAUGGGAUUCAGACUGACAUGGGAGCAGGACGGGAUCAGGAGUGGGGUAAUACGGGAACAUGCAGGGGACAAGCUGACUGACAGCAGGGAGAGGGGGAUCCUGUACAGGGGACACCAGGGCCAGGGGGAAAUGGAGACAGUCCCAGUGCAGGGAGUCCUUGAUCCAGAAGGACUGCCCCAGAACCUCCACCAGGUUCUCCCAGCGCAGCCAGAGCCAUUUGGCCUGGGGUGCCCAAAGCCCUGACCAACCCCCAAGUCAGUGCCAGGAACCCACAACUCCCUUGCACCCAGCAUCCCUCACAUCCCCUGGAAGAUUCCUUCAUGUCCCCAUCCAUGUCUUAGUUCAAAAUCUUUAUUUUUACCCCAGUUUUGGGUGUUUUAAAAGGACAAAGAGAAAUGAAAAGAAAAUCCAGGCCAUGGGAAGCCAGGGGAAUGUGGUGCCCCCAGACAGGUGUCUUCUCAACACGGCUCACCAGCCCACAGAUCACUGGGGCUCUGCCCACUGGGGGCCACUGGGGAUCAUCCAGCAUGGAUCCUCCCAUGGGGGGAUGGAGCUGGAGCAGGACACAAAGCCCUUCCUGCACUUGGGACACUCGUAGGGCUUCCCUUAGUGGUGGUUUUGUUAGUGUUUGGUCAUGUGAGAGCUCUGUGAGAAGAUCUUCCCAUAUAUGAGGCAUGCAUGGGGCCUGUGAUGUCACAAGGAGCAGGCCUGGCUGUGUUGCUCUCUAGUGCCUGGGACAUGACGAGGGGCAUGGCUGGCUGUGAUUUGUUUGGUGCCUGUGAAAUCCCAAGGGCAGUGUCACAGUGGGGGCAGCUCUCCAUGUCCCCAGCAGGUCACGCUGUCCAGUGCAGCCCAUGCCUGCGGUCACUGCACACACGGGGGAGGCUGGGCUGGAUGGGGGUCGGGGCAGAAACGCCGUCCCUGGGACUGGGCUCUCCCCCUGCCUCAGGGGCCCAGGCCCUGGUGGGAGUGCCUUGGGCAGGGCACGGGGCUGCUGCUGGGCCAGGCCUUGCCCCGUGCCAGCUGCCUGGGCCCCUCUGAUGCCUGUCCCACAUCCCUGUGCCUCCUGUUUCUGCUGCUCCCUGCCACCUUCGCUCCCUCCAUCAAAGCCCCACUCAACCUCUUCACAGUGACCUCUGGAAAGAAAGAAUGAAGGAAAGGGAAGUGUAGUCAGUGUACCCUGGCUGGACGGCAGGCAUCCACCAAAGCUGCUCUCUCACUCCCCUCCAGAGAUGGACAGGAGAGAGAAAACAGAAUGAAGGCUUCAUGGCUUGAGAUAAGGACUGGGACAGAUCACUCAGCACAUGCCAUCAUUGGCAAACCAGGAAUUCCAUUUCCCCAAGUUUGGCCAGAUGGAGGAGGAGGAUGCAAGGAAGAGGAAGAUGGCCUGGGAACCUGAAGCAUGUGAGGAGGAAGUCAGUGCCCCUUUCCCCCUCUCCUGCUCCAUCUCACAGUGCAGCUUGGCCUCUGACUGCAAGAUGUGAAAAACGAAGAAAUGAGCUGAGGAUGGAGACCAGGGAGGACAGAUCCCCGUGGCAGAAUCUUGUGGAAGAGGCCAUUUUGAGAGGCUCAACAGCGCAGGAAUUCAGUGGGGACAAAAAGCCCCAGAGAUCCCACAUGAGGAGGGGCUCCAAACUCAGCCCAUGGAGCCCCGAGAAGGAAAGACCCACCCUGGGCCGGGAAAGUGGCCAGAGAUCCAGAUGGAGCUCAGAGCUGGUGGUCCCUGAGCAGCUCCAUGGCAGGGAGAAGCCCUGCAAGUGCUUGGAAUGUGGGAAGAGCUUCAGCUGGAGCUCCAGCCUCCUCACCCAUCUGUGGGUGCACAUGGAUGGGACCCCUUUGAGCAGGGCCAGAUUUGAGCUGGAAUAUCUGGAUUCCCAGACCCAGGUUGGUGAGUGUGCCCAGCACAUCCAGCACUGACCUGGAGAUGCUGCAAGUCCAGUACAGUCAGAGCAGGGGAUUUCCCAUUCCCAAACCUUGGCCUGAUGGAGGAGGAGGAGGCCACAAGGAAGAGGAAGGUGGCCCUGGAGCUUCAGGCAGACAAGGAUCUGAGCAUGGAGACCAGGGAGGACAAAUCCCUGUGGCACAACCUCAUGGAAGAGGCAUUUUUGAGCAGCUCCACGGUGCAGGAAUCCAACGGAGAGUAAAAGCAUCGGAGAUGCUACACUAGGAGGGGCUGCAAACGCAGAUCACGGGGAUCCAAGGAGGAAAGAUCCACCCUGGGCCAGGGAGGUGGCUGGAGCUCAGAGCUGGGGCUCCCUGAGCAGCUUGAGGAUAGGGAGAAGCCCUCAAGUGCUCGAAAUCUUGGAAGAGCUUCAGUCAGAGAUGUUCCCAGAUCUGCCACUGGGGAAUCCACACAGGGGAGAAGCACUAUGAAUGUGGGGAGUGUGGGAAGAGCUUCUGGUCAAGCUCCAACCUGAUGAAACACCAAAGGACCCAAACCAAGGAGAGACCCUACGAGUGUGAUAAUUGCAGGAAGAGGUUUCAGACCAGCUCCCAUCUCCUCCUGCACCAGCGGAUUCACACGGAGGAGAAGCCCUUCUGCUGCCCCGACUGCAGGAAGGGCUCCAAGCAAAACUCCGCCCUCAUCACCCACCAGCACAUCCACACUGGGGAGAGGCCCUACAAAUGUGGGAAGAGAUGCAGGCAUGGCUCCCACCUUCUCUGCCAUGAGUGGAUGCACAUGGGGAAAUGACCCUUUAAGUUCUGGGAAUGUGGGAAGAGCUUCACAGACAGCUCUGGACUCACCACCCACCGGCACGGGCACGCCAGGGAACGGCCCUACAUGUGCUUGGAAUGUGGGAAGAGCUUCAGCAUUGGGUCCAAUCUGACAUCCCACCAGAAGAUCCACACUGGGGACUGGCCCUACGAGUGUUCUGAGUGUGGGAAAAAGGCUCAGAGCAGUUUGGAUCACCUCAAACACCAGCGCACACACAUAGGGGAGAGGCCCUUCUGCUGCCCUGACUGCGGGAAGGACUUCACCUGCAACUUCAGCCUCCUCAGCCACUGGUGCAUCCACACCCAGGAGAGGCCCUUUAAGUGUCCUGGGUGUGGGAAGAGCUUCUCAGGAAGCUCUCACUUGACCAGACUGGUGUCUGGUCAAGUGAGAGCUUCCUGAGAAGGAAGCCACAGGUAAGGGAAGCCCAGUGAGGCCCCCAACUGCAGGAAGAGCUUUGUGCGCUACUCCAACUCCAUCCCCCAUCAGAAGACCCCCAUUGGGCAGAGCCCUGGUGUCCCACAUUCCCAGUGAUCCAUGUUGGGAAGACACCUGGCUGGUUCUCUCAAUGUCCACCUGGUUCCCCAGAGGCACCUAGAUGAAUGCAAGGUGAGGAACAUCCUAACAUCAGAAAUUGAUUGGGAAGAGGAGAUUAGUUGACUUUAAACUCCAAAAAAGUCUCACCUGCUCUGUUGAGUCAUUUCUUAUGAAAGCAUCAAGCAGCACUGGAUGAUCUUGGAGCCUCCCAUGGCACAGCAUGGCUGUUUUUGGGGUUUCAGCACCUGCCCAGAGCUGUGGAUGGGGCCUUUGGAGGCAACUGGGGCCAUACUGGUGGUGCUGGGAGCCUCCCAGCUAGGAGCCGAGGGAACUUGGGUGAGUGAGGAGCACAGGAAGGGGGAGGCGAUGGGAAAUGUAGGGGAGAGGGAGGAAAAGGAUCCCCAAAAGGAGUGGGAUCGGCGUGGGAGUUGGGGAUUCAGGGCACAGUAGGAAAGGUGAGGGACAGGAGGGGAAAAAGAGGACGUUGGACUGAUUCCUUUUUGGGACUACCUAUAAACAAAGGCCAGACAAAAGUAAGGGGAUAAAAAGCAGUUGUAUUGAUUGAAGGGCCUUCAGAUACAUUUCUGGCAGACUAAGCCCUCCAUGGGCUACACCGAAAAAUGGAUGACAGGUCAUGGGUUUUCAUACUUUUAUACAUUUGGUCCAUUUGCAUAUUGGGGCUUAAUCUUCCAACUACAGCUUUGGGUAAGGAAGUCAUUUACCCCAAGUUUGCUCCUCCUCUAACUCACUUUUUUUUACAUUUCUCAAGGCCUGAUACAGUGAGGUGUCCUUGAUUCCCAGGCCUGGAGAGGAAUUGUUUUGUCUGACCAAAAUGGGAAAGCAGUAGCGAACACUCUGUAUGGAGUUUAGAGUUAUACACUAAAGAAUUGCAGGAUUACAAAUAUAUGAAAAAAUAUAAGAGCUAAAAUCGUAAGGCAUCCUUGGCAGCUCAAAAGGAUAGAAGGAUUCGUGAUUCCUUGCUAAAACAUUCAGAUGGAGAGCAAAGUGAGAGACCAAAAUUGGAAUCUCUACUGGUUAUGGAAAGGGACUUUAGCAGACAAAUGCACCUUGGGCUCCAUAAGGCUGCAGAGUGGGAGAAUGCAUUGGGGGAGACAUAGGGUACAUGGACAGGGAUGAGGAUGCAGCGAGGUGAGCACAAGGACAUGGACAGCGGUUCAGAUGAGGAAGAGUUGGGAAAGUGCAGGAAGAAUUAGCAGGUGAAAGGGAGAGGAGAGAUCAGGCUUGGAAACUUUUAGAAGCCAAGAGAGUGACUUAGCCAGGACAGGAAUCAGAAGGGUGAAGAGGAUGAGGAGAAGGAGCAAAAGACAGAAGUGUGGGACAAGGAGACAAAGCUGGAGAAGUGGCUGUGGGAGAGAAGGGAGAGGCAGGAGAUCAGGCAGUGGAAGAAAGAGAAGAAGAGGAACCUAAGGAAAAGGAAGAGGCUGUGGAAGGGCAGGCAGAGACAGCUCAAGUGUGGGCAGCAGCUGCUGGGGAGCAGAAAGAAGUUGCAGAAGAGGAAGGGCAGGGAUCCUGGGAACCAGGGCUUUUCCUAAGGGUAAAUGAUCCUCCUAAGCCCUGGACAGAAGGCUGUCUGCUGUUCAGGGGCUGAAAUCCCCUGGAGAGGGAGAGCAGACUUUGGGGAAGGUGGUGUUGUUGCUGAGCAUGAUCAGGGGAAGGAAAAGAAGCUGCAGAGAUGCAGCUGGGGACACACCUGGGGGAACUGGGGUGAAGGGUGAGGGAAGUUAAGGAGUGGGGAGGGUGUUGGAGGGCAGGCGAUGCACCCAAAAAUGUGCCAAAAGCAAGGGGAGGGUGCUCAAAAUUGGGGAAAAGAUGGAAAUGAGGGAAAGAACCCAAAACAGGGAGGAAAAGACACAAAAUAGGGAAGAGUUCCCAAAGAGGUGGAAAGGAUACAAAAGAGAGAAAAAGGACCCAUAAAGGGGGAGCAAAGAGCACAAUUCAGAGGACAAAGGUUGUCAUGGGAUGUCAUGAGAUGUCAUGGGAUGUCACUGUAUGUCCCAGGGUGUUGUGGCAUUUCCAUACCUGUGCCAGGAUGGGCGCAGAUACUCGGCACCAGAAGCAGCCACAGAAACAUCCUGAGGGACACGGUGACAACCUGCAGGACAUAGGGAAACCCUGCAGGACAUGGGCCUGGAAACUCAGGGACUUUGGCCCCACUGAGGGCAGGGAACAGGGAGGGAUGGGGAUACACAGAAGGGGACAGGAACACAUAGGGGGGAUGGGGACAGGGAUUCACAGGGGGGAUGGGAACAGAGAGGGUGGACAGGGAGACAUGGGGAGGGGAUGGGGACAUAUGGAGGGCAGGGGAGACAAUGCCACCAGGACACAUAUCAGAGGACAAUGUCACCACACCUAUGCAGAUGGUCCCACCAUGAUGCCUCCGAUCACACUCAGUGUGGGGCCACGUGACUCCCUGGGUGACACUGACCCUUGCCCUGUACCCAGAGGUGGUUGGGGUCCCCUCAACGCAGUGGCCCUUGGACACCCUGCUGGCUGUCACUCCCUUCUGGGCCACGUGUUCUCAGCUGAACAAGUUCCCCGUCCUGCCCUGGUGGGAGGUGACAUUUGGCUGAGACACCAUGGUGGUGACAGUGAGGACAUGGUAGCAGGACAUGCAUUGGGCAGUGCUUUGCUAUGCCCGAGAUGAAGGUGCAGGUGGCACUGUGGUAGCACAGGUGGUGGCAUUGAUGCUGUCCCAGUUCAUGUCCCCAUGCAUGUCCCCGAUGUCCCCAUCCAUGUCCUCCAUUUUGCUAUCCAUGUCUGUGCCCCCAUCCACGUCCACCCUGUCCCCACCCAAGUCUAUGUCCCCCUAUGACCCCUCCCAUAUCAUUAUCCCCCACAUGUCCCCAUCCAUGCCUUAAUUCAAUCAUUCAUCUUUAUUUUUACCCCAAUUUCAGGGCUUUCAAAGGGAUGAACAGAAACCUUUUCAAGGCCAAAACAAAAGGAUUUACGUCCCUUCUGGCAGAACAUCCACGUGCUUGGGUGGGUGGGAAGAACCUUUUUUGGAGGGUUUCCAGCCCACUGUCUCCACAAUCGUUGGUUUUGACCCAACCUGUCCCUGUUGGCUGUGCAAGAUGCCCAUGGACCAGAGAGAAUUCAAAUGAUAGCUUUAUGGUGGAGAAGACCUCCAAGCCCAUGCAGUGUUCCUUGAUGUCACCAGAAGAAGCAAAAAGUAUGACUUUUUUGUGGUCAGAAGUUGACAAAUGCACUGUCAACAACAGAUUUCUGAUAUUGGUCUGUGGAUGUGUCCAAGUGCCCACGGGGAGCCAGGAGGAUGUGCAGCCCCCAGCCAGGUGCUUCCCAACACGGAUCACCAGCACCACGGAUCACCGGGGCUCUGCCCACCAGGGAUCAUCCCAUAUGCGGAUCCACCCAUGGGGGAUGGAGCUGGAGCAGUGUUGUUAUGAUUUUCGGACAGCACAGAAAUAACAACAUGACUGUCCAUAAUGGUAAAAAUGAGAGUAAACUUUAUUCUUCUAAAUUCUACUUUUAUAGAGUAGUUUGGUACAAAGAACAUGAUUUGCUAUUCAGGGUCUACACCCUUUUGUAAACAUUUAUUUUGCCAGUAAGCAUGUUUGAAAAAACACCACCUGUGGAUGGUUUCUCACUUCCCAAGGUUUGUUUGAAUUCCUCCUAAGAUUUCUCAGGCCAACAUGAGAAAGUUGCUCACUUGCCCUUCACACAGACACUGGCAGAGCCUGAAGCCUAAAUUCCGACCAAUGUCAGGCCCAUAGAGCAGUGCACAAAGCUCUUUUUACAACUGGAGCACUUCCAGGGCUUUCCUUAGUGGUGGCCUCGUUGGUGUCUGGUAAAAUGACAGCUGUGUCAGAAGCUCUUCUCACACUCUGGACACUCGUAGGGCCUCACCCCGGUGUGGAUGCACCGGUGGGUAACAAGAGUGCAGUUGUGCUUGAAGCCCAUUCCGCAGUUGGGGCAGCGGAAGGGCCUCUCAUCCAUGUGAAUCUGCUGGUGCAUGAGGAGAUGGGAGCUGGUCUGAAACCUUUUCUUUCCUACAUUUAUCACACUCGUACGAUCUCUCCCCGGUGUGAAUCAUCUGGUAUUUGAUUAGUUCAGAGCUCAUCCUGAAGCUCUUCCCACAAUCCUGAGACCCCUCCACGAUGGAUUUGGGGUGAGCUCCCCCUCCCCGCUCACUUGCGGGUUCCCGAGAGGCGAUACUGCCGGAGCCAGGGGAGCUGCGGCCUGAACGGGCAGGCGGGACAACCAUGUGCUGCUGCUUCUCUUCCUGCUGCUCCUGCCUUUCCUUCUUCUUCUCCUCUGUCCCUCCUGUUCCUGCUCCUCCCCUUAAUCCCACUCCUUUUCCUUUUCCGUCUCUCCUCUUUUUCCCACUCCUCCUCCGCUCCCAGCCCAGUCCGGGCGGUGCCGACACCCAAAAGCAGCCGCGCUCUGCCCUGGCGGGAGGGGUUCCAAAGCGGCCCCGCCACUUCCGGCACGGAGAGAUACUGGGAGUACCAGAUUGGGGGAGCAGCGGGAACGAUCCUGAGAGCCCAGGGAAAGAAUCGGGAACACUUUCCCUCCCAGUCUGGCUUUUCCUGGGAGCACUGGGAGGGAACUGAGAGCAAACAGCGCCCGGACGCGGCUGCAGCCGGCGCUGGGUGGGGCCAAACCGAAGGGCGUGGUUAUGCAAAUCGAGGAGCGAUCGCACGCUGUGAUUGGUAGGCGGGAGCAGCGCGGGGUUCCUCGGUCAUGUGAGGGCGAGGUGGGGCCGGAGUGAUGACGGCGGUGUCCGGUGAGAGGGGACAGGGACUGGGAAUGGUGCCUGGGACUAGGACUGGGAAUUGGGACAGGGAGGGGGACUACGGGAUCCAGACUGAGAAUAUGACCGGGAAUGCGGGACAGGAGCCGAGAAUGGGGAUGUGAAAAACAAGGUUCACUUUCCUGGUAAGUUUAAAAAUAGGUUGUCUUGGUUUGAAAGACGGGUAUCUGCUAGGGAGGGGCAGGACCUCCCUAGAGAUGGAGAGUUCAAAUCCCCUCCCUCCAAAUUAUUAUGAUUUAAAAAUUAAAGGGGCUUUCAGACAGAGGUAUGGGGCUACAAAUAACAGUUCUUUACUGGUAUGUAUGACAAAGCAAACAAACAACAACUACAGCGUUAAUAAUAAACAGAACUCAAGGGGCUUUCUUUCACAAAAGCCCAGGGGCAGUUUGAUCUCGGUGCCCCUGUGGAACUUCAAGAGACCAAGCCUGAACAGUGGAAAGUCCCGGGCUGGUGGAUGAGAUGAGGAGCUCUGCGCUGGUAGCUGGAGCGGCAGGGAUGCCCCAGCAGGGCUGGGCAAUGCAGGGCUACAGAGUAGCAGGAAAACCUCAAAGCAGUGCUGAAGAAGCGGCAGCGGUGGGGGCAGAGCCAGUCCCACAGGGCAGGAGAAGGCGAGCUCAAAAUUCCUGGGCACCUGAGCAGGUGAUGGUAGAUUUCCCAGGAGGAGACAGAAUGAUGACAGUGAACUCUUCCCACAGCGAGCAGCAACCUGACUGUCUUCCCUGAUGCUGAGAGUAAGAGAGACCAACAGCCCCCAACUAUGUCUUUUACCUCCCCCAAACCUUGUGUUAUCUCCCCCCGCUGAGAGAAAACGCCCAGAGACCCAAAAACAAUGUUAGCCCAGUGAUACAAUCUCCUUUGCCACGUCUUUGUUUCAGUCAAAGACCCAGUAGUUGGUCUCUUAGCAACUUAUGGGUAAAAAUUCUAUAAGUAAAAAAAAACCCAAAUAAAUCUAACCCUCAACAUAGGUUUAAUACAAUAAAAUAAUUUAAAAAUAAACAAUUACAAGACAGAAAUCAAGCAAAGGAUUAAUGGCCGCAUGACUUGGCACUUAGCCAAGUGCACACCUGCUAUUUUAGAGACAUUAUUUAAAUACCCUUUCUAUUGCAUCCGUUUGUUGCAUAUUCAAACUUUUUCACAAACUAGUUUCCAUAUUGCAGGAAUUGUUUAGCAUGGCUCCUCCUUGGGUCCACCUUUUUAAAGCAUCCGUGUUUCUUGGCUGUGUCUUCAUUAUCACCUCCAGCUUGGGCUGUGCUCCACGCUUUCUUCAGGCGGCAGGUGCUGAUAGUUUGGCAUAUCAAUAGCAGGGUCUUCUUUACAUGUUCAGACAGCUUAGUUGCAAGCAUAACUAUUCACUAUGAAUAAGCAAAACUAUAAAAUCUAUAUCCUUACAGCAGAGUUAUUUCAACACCACACAUAUAACAAUCAUUUUAAUAUUUGUGAAAAGCCAAUACUAUAAUGUGUUUCUGUAACAGGGACAAGGACCAGGAAUGGGACCUGGAGUAAGGGACAGGACCAUGACUGGGGAUAAGGACUGAGACUGGAACAGCGAAUGGGGACAGGGACUGGAAGUGGGGAUAGGGAUAGGGAAUGGAGACCAAGAAUAUACAACUGGGACUGGAAAUGGGACAGGGAAUACAGGACUGGAACCAGGAAUAGGAGCGGGGAUGGGGAUAGGGACUGGGAAUGAGCCUGUAGAUGGGAACAUGGGAACGGGACAGGGAAUGUGGAAAGAGCGACCAGAGAGAGAAUAUGAUAUGGGGAUUAGUUUUCCAAAGUGCUUCAGUGAAACACAUCUGGGGCUGUGAGCUCUGCAGCUGGGCCUCCCCUGGGCUGCUGCGGCCCAGGGCCCAAAGGCUGGAGCUGCAGCCUUGCUCCUGUGCCAAGAACAGGAGGCUCCUGCAGGCCCGUGUCCCCUGCAUGGCCCCAGCAGCAGGGAGGGCUGUGAGGCACAGCAGGUGCUGGCAGGAGGGGCUGCUGUGGCCAGCUGGGGUCUGUGAGAAAUGCCCAAAGCCUUGUGCUGUGUGCAGCUGGGCAAGGGCAGCAGCAGGGCUGAAGGGUUCGUGUGCCACAGCCAGGCCGAGCUGGGGAGACCUGAGGACCUCAUGGGAGAGGCGGCCCUGGGGAAUGGGACAGGGAGCAGGAAUGGGGACAGGGAGCAAGAAUGGGACUGUAAAUAUGGGACAGCAACAGGGGAUAUUACUAGGAAUAGCAACAGGGACCAAGAAGUGGAUCAGGAAUACCAGAGUGAGACUGGGAAUCUGACCGGGAAUGGAGAGAGGGGACCCAGACUAGGACAGGGAAUCGAGAGACGGCCUGAGAAUGGGGACUGGACCAGGAAUGGGACUGGGGACUGGGACAAGGAACGUGGAUGGGGACAGGGGCUGGGAAUGGGUACAGGGACCAGGAAUGGGGAGAGGGAAUGGAGACAGGGAUUGGGAAUGGGACAGGGAAUAUGAACAGGGACCAGAAAUGGAACCCAGAAUGGGGACAGGGACCAGUGCCCUGGUUUAAGGCAAACUGGGGAGGAAACCUCUUAAUGGGUCCUUCUGGAAAGCAAACUGAGGCAGCCAAGUGGUCCGGGAAAAAAUUUCCUUUGAGAAAAGUGAAGAAAACUGUUUGUUCAACAAGCAAAGUGCCCACAAGCACAAAAAAAUGAACAAUAUCAAACAACACAACCUUUCACCGUUCUGAAGAGAGAUGGCAAAAUUAACAAAGUCCCUGCUGUAGGCUGUGACUCAGCUUGUCCAGUCCCUUAUCAGUCCCUCCGGUGCUGGAAAAUGCCGUGCUGGAAAAUGCCGUCCUGGGCCCCAAUGGGCUGCAGGCGUGAGCUCUGGGUGUUUCUCUGGGUUUUUCCAUCCAGAACAGGUUUGUACAGUUCCAAGGACAAUAAAACAUUCCAGAGAAAUUCUGCGCCUCAGCGAGCUAAAACUAACUAACAAGCAAAGGAGAGCUCUCUCUGUCUCUCGCUGUCUGUCCGCUGUCCUGGACAACAGAGUCCAGGAGUAGAAUGUGGAGGAGUGAGUGCAGUUUCUGCGAACAAACACUGCACCUCCUCUUCCACCCGCCUUGUUCCUGGAGCCAGUCCUAAAGGUGUAGAAUUUUCGACUAAUAUCCAACAAAACCAGAACAGACAAUUGGGGAUACAAGCAUUACAAAGGCACCCCAGGACAACCAGGAAUGGGAUGGUGAAUAUGAACAGGGAUGGGGAAUGAGACCAGGAAUGGGAUGGGAGAUGAGAACAUGGAAACCUGACAGAGAACAUGGAAAUAGCAACCGGACAGAGUAUGUGAUGAGGAUUUUGAAGGAAGGACUGAGAUUUGAAACAGGAAUAUGGGAACGCAACUGAGAACUGGAAUAUGACAACAGAACAGGGAAUAUAGAAAUGGAAAUGAGAGACCUGCAGUAAGACCAGGAAUACAAAAAUGGGAACAGGGCAAGGAAUAUGGGACUGGGAAUAUGGGAACGGCAACCAGAAAGAGAAUACGGGAUAGGGACAGGGAAUGACAAAAAGAAUGUGAUCCGGACUAUGAUGGGAGCAGAAUGGGACCAGGAGUAGGGUGACACGUGAACAGGCAGGGGACGACAGCAGUGACAGUGCGGAGAGGGGGAUCCUGCACAUGGGACACCAGGAGGCAGGCUGGGGGGACAUGGGGACAAUUCCGGGGCAAGGGAUCCUUGAUCAGCUGCCCCAGAACCUCCACCAGGGUCUGUCAGCACAGCUGGAGCUGCUCAGCCUGGGUAGCCCAAAGCCCUGAGCAACAUCCAAGUCCCUGCCAGGAACCCUCAACUCCCUCACCGCCAGCAUCCUCCACAUCCCCUGGAAGAUCCCCCCAUGUCCCCAUCCAUGACUUAGCUAAAAAUCUUUAUUUUUACCCUGAUUUGGGGUGUUUUGAAAGAAGAAACAGAAAUUAAUAGAAAAUCCAGGCCACAGGGAGCCAGGAGUAUAUGAAGCCCCCAGCCAGGAGUUUUCCCAACACAGAUCACCAGCACCAUGGACCACCAGGGUUCUGCCCACCAAGGGUCACUGGUCUAGCAUGGAUCAUCUAGCAUGGAUCCUUCCAUGGGAGAUGGAGCUGGAGCAGGGCACGAAGCUCUUCCUGCACUCAGGGCACU